AACCACGCCCCCGAGAUUCUCAGAACUAAUUGAUAUUCUAUGACUGAGGCGACGUAUGGCUGCGAUGGCUGUGGUCGCGUGCAACACGCAGCCUCUACAUGUACAGCACACAGUGCGACAUCUCACUUAGCUAUAUUUCCUGCAGGUUUGCUGACUUCAUAGAUGGAGCUGAGCUGCUGCUGCGACUCAACACCGGGGUUUGUUGAACAAGGAAAGCUGUCAUAGAUUUGAUUUGAGUGUUUUCUCGUGAUUUGUCAGGGACUUGGUGCACUCGUGAGUUGUUGUAGAACGAAUGUUCUUUUAAUUGUGAUUCUGCGGGUGUUGAUGGUUUUUGUGUGUGUCCAGAUUUAAGGCUCAUUUUUAGAUGCUGUACAUGUAUAAUUAGCCUAUAAUUAAACUUGUUGCAGACUGAAAGUGUGGCAGUGGAUCUUUACAGACGUGACUUUGCUGUUGAGAGAAGUUCAUUUUUAAAGUGCAGUGCAACAGUGAGUUAGUUUGAAUUAUUUAUCUGUUGCUGUGACAUUAUGAGGAUGAUAAUUAUGCUAUAGUUAUAAUUGUGCAUAAUUAUGUACUGUGAUUAAUUGCACUCCUCAGUUUACUUGUGAUGUGGAAAGUUGUACAUGUUUUAUUGGUUAAUUGUCAUUAUUUGAUGUGGUCCAAACACAAAAAUACUGAGUAUAUUUCUGUAAUUGUCAGAGUCAGGCAAGAAUAAACUCUACAAAGUCUUUCUACGUCCCA
Long non-coding RNA from Solea solea (common sole), 738 nucleotides. RefSeq lists it as uncharacterized. NCBI's taxonomy places the organism in Eukaryota, Metazoa, Chordata, Actinopteri, Pleuronectiformes, Soleidae. The transcript is spliced from 2 exons. The record is from RefSeq and is a predicted model, not a curated record.